Gorilla gorilla gorilla (western lowland gorilla) is the source of this 6314-nucleotide long non-coding RNA. RefSeq lists it as uncharacterized. The record is from RefSeq and is a predicted model, not a curated record. Lineage: Eukaryota; Metazoa; Chordata; Mammalia; Primates; Hominidae. The transcript has 3 exons.
AUAUAAAAUAAAAAAUGUUGGGCAAAGGAGAAAAUAAUAUGAAAGUUUUCAUUGUUGUUUAUUAGGAAAUCAGUCCUUUAAGAAAGACUGGCAUUAUAAUCAUGCAAUAAUUAUUAAUGUUUUAGUUAAUGAAACUAGUCAUAAUUUUUUUCAAGUAUUAUAUAACAUAAUUUUAUCACUUGUUACUAAGCAGUGAAGUUAUACUGGGUUAGAUGUCACUGCUUUUAUAUAACCCACUUAUUUUUAUAUUUACAUUUUAGGUUAUGAGUGUAUGAAACCACGACACACAGGGGAAGGGGUAUUCCUAAACUAUUGUCCAAUCCAAUGUCUAACCUUAGCCCAUUCCAGCCACCAGUGAACUUCAUCAACACCAUCAUUGCCAUCCUUUCAGAGUGACCAUUCUAGUCCAGUACUUGACAAAGGAAAUAAAUGACAUUAUCAGUAGGGAAAAUAAGGACAGGUGUCACUGGAUAUAUCCACUCUAAAUGGAGCCCCAAGCAUUGUAAUUCAGUUUAAUCCUAAAGGUGUUGUUAUAUGUUACAAGCCAGUCGUGCAGUCUACAGAUGCUAUUGAUAUAGUGAUGCUGGAGGAGUGAUAGUCCAGAGAUAGGGACCUAAGUGUGGAUCUCAUGAAGUCAGUGUUUGAGGGGAGAGGAAGGAGUGAGUGAAUCCAGUUAGGAGUUUGGAACCUGAGGGUAAUGCUGAGGGGCCAUUUAGGGUUGUUUAGGGAUGGGCUGAGCUGCAGAAGUUGUGGGGACCACACGUCCAGAGGAACUGGAGAGAAACUGAAGGAGAGUGUUUAUUUACACAGGCACAUCUCGGGGAGCCACUGGGUCAGGAAUCUGAUAUAUUUGGAGAGAGUAGUUUAAUUCUGGGGCAUGGGGUAAAUUUGGUGCCAGUAGAGAAGGGACCUGGGAAUUGAGAGAGUUCAACCUAGAUUUGGUAGAGGACAUAGCUGAAACCAAAGGAAAAGUUGCAAACCCCAGAAUCAGCAUUUAAGGAUGAGCCAGUAGCCAACAGGGAGAUGAAUCAGGAAAAUAGCUGAUAUAUGGAGCUGGCGCUGGGCUAGCCUUGGUUGUAGGUUAAUCAGUUUUCUAACUUUGGCACAAUCAGUAUGUCUUUACUCCAAAGCAAGUAUUAUUCUUCGUAAGAGCUACAUUGUGAUGUACUGGGUACGGAGAAAUAAAAGGUUAAGUCCUGUUGGCAAAAAUUUCAAUGAAAUAAUGUUCCAAAUACCCCAAGUAACCCUGUUUUCCAAGGUGGUGAUAACUAAGUGGGUACCCGAGUCACAUCAAGUCUCAGGACCUGACCAGCAGCAGAUUUCUGGAUCUGCACAUUCUCGACACAUCUUCCGAUGCUUGUGAGGUCAGGGAAAGGACUUCAUCAGGCUCGGCCAGCCAUCCUCUCUCCCUGCACACACGGUGCACGUGUUCCUAUCUGUCUGUGCUGGCAGAGUCCACAGGAGACCAUCAGUGGCAAGACCAUACUUUUUUGUACAUUACAUGAUUCCUACUUCAGAAAGCUCUAACUUAAGGAAGUUCAUCUAUAGGUUGAGCCACAAUAUUCUUCCUUGUAACUUGCCUUGUUCCUGGUUCUUUUUUCUGAAGUUCCUCAUUAGAAGUCGAAUUCCUAUUUUAAAGUAUCCACCCCUUUUAAUUCAUCUUGAAAAGUUGCUUCUUUCCUAAACUUCAGGGCAAAAAUGAAUCCCCAGCCUCCAGCUUAAUCCAGUUAUAGAGGUUCAUUGUUUAUCAAAUUGAAUAACUUUUUAGUAUCCUCCUGUCUGUGUCACAUCCCCACUUCCUCAUCACAUCCAGCUCUCCGUCCUGCUUGCAUUCCUCCUGACAUCCACCAGCCUGUCCUUGCUGGCCUCGGUGUGGCCCACAUGUGCCCACAACAGAGACCCUGCUCUUGACGUCCUCUAUUCCAAGGGGAUAAUAAGGUUUUUGGCAGCCAUUCUGUUUUAUUGGUUUAUAUAAAACUUCAUAAGCUAAAAUCUCUUCAUCCUUCUUCCCCAAACUGUACUUAUUUUUUUUAACCAAAAUAUAAGACUGCAGUUGUCUUUCUCCAAUUUCAUGAGCUCCUUUGUCAUUUUUCCAUUGUAGUGUACACACACUGUGUCCUGACAUAACAUGUGCAGCAAGCAUUACAUUGCUGCUGAUGUUGAGAUGAAGGCUUGUAUCAGUGGGUGUCGUUGUGAUGUGAUGAAGGGAGAGUGGUGAAUUUAGUCAGGGUUGGUUUCAUGGAGGAGAGGCGUGUUGAGCCGUGACUGGAAGGAAGGAAGGAAUAUGUCUGGGAGAAGGAUGGGCUGCUGGGGUGGAUGUAGUGUCUUGUCCAGGGCUUUCAUGGCUGGACGGUGUGACCUCAUCUGCGUUCUCAGCAUUGGUCUUCAAGUUGCAGUUCUUGAAACAUGAUUUCAUCAAUAGCUAGGGAGAAUCUGACAAAGCCGUAAUCACUAAAAUUUGUGAGAUAAUUACAUAGAUCAUAGUGUUUUUCCUUUAAAUUGAGAAAUAUUGUCAAGCAGACUGGGAUACUCAUGUCAGCAGUCAACACAUUUUCUUGUAGAAAAGCUACUUGUGAAGCCAAGUUAUAAUCAGAAUGUUGCUUUCUGAGUUUAAAACCGGAAGAGAGUAAGUGAGUUGAACUUAAGAGAAAGUCCUGACUCUGAUAGCCUGGGCCAUAACCUGCAGCUUUAGGCCCCACCCAGUGGCCUAGGACUGUGGACGUGGGACUCCAGGAUGCCUCCUACCCUGAGUGCAGCUGAAGGUUGCCUUUUCUCAUGCCCCGUGAGGUUGUCGUUCUUCGCUUUCCCUAUCCUAGAAUUGUGUCAGUUCCACCGUGGGGGGCAACCGGCACAGUCAGCCCACGCCCCUCAGCCAGCCGUGAGUCAGCCCCGUCGCCCUUUCCGUAGGCAGAUGCUUCACUCGCGGCCAGCUUAUUUGGGAGGUGUUGCAUUUUUUAAUUACGUUAACUUACGGGGUUUUUUGGAAUAAUUCACUCUCUUCUCUCUGUUGUCUUCCUAGUGGAGCAUUCUAGAUGAGGGAUUGAAUUUUGAAAUUGUUCUAAGGAAUAAACAGGAGAGGGUUACAAUCUGUUAUUCUUAAUAGAGAUUAGGAACUUGAAAAUGUCAGUUUGUGUAAACAUAAAGAUAUUUAUGUAGUAAGUAUCUAAUUAGUGAAUUCCCUGGAUGUCAGCAUUGACAGUUCCUAUUUUAUUCACUGAAUAAUUUCAAGGUGAGUUCUAUUAUGAGAGGAAGGAAGGUAGACAGUGCCGUAAUGGGAAGCUCUUUACAGACUGGGCGGGGAUUUUAAAACUCUCUGAGCCUGUUUUAUUUCCAUAGAAUGUGUUAUGGUACAGAUCUUCAAGAUGUGAUGAGGUCAUGUUUGUAAAGCUCCACCUCUGGCAUAUGCUGUGUACUCAACAAGCGGCAGCCCUCCAGGGUAAGAGUACUUCUAGGGGAAAGUGAUGAUUUGUGGUUUUUGAUGAAGAGUUUAGAAUGCCUUUCCCACCUCUGCUUCCUUGUUAGCUGGCAGAGGGACACAUGUUUUAAGAUGAACUGAAGCCACCGCCUGUGUUUUGAAGCCUUCUAGGAACUGCUCAGGUAUUUGUGAGCUCUCGCUUGUUUGGAGAACCAUAACCCACGUCUCACUUACACUGUGAAGUGGUCUAAAAAUGUUCGUCUUCACCUACGGGACUCUGGACGUCUUUGAGUAUUCAUUCCUUCAUUCUUUCAUUAUGUAUUAAGGUCCUUAUUAUAGAUGAGGCUGAUGUAAGUGCCUGCGAUAAAACAGUGGAAAAGAUCAGCAAAAGAGAACACUGUCGUCGUUGUCAUCAUUUAUUGAGUGUGGGUUAGGGAUGUCAGAAAACACAAAUAAAUGAAUUAGAAGGUUGGUUAAGAUAAAGGUUAAGUAAGUGUUCUAAAGGUGAGAAAGCAGGAUUUGGGUCUCAGGGUUGCAGGGAGAUUAUUUUGAGUUGCCUCCUCACAGUGGGCCUGUCGAGGAGGGAGCACCUGAGCUGCAUUGGCCAUGAGGAGGAGCCCCGUCAUAUACACACCUGAGCUGCAUUGGGUUUGACGAGGAGUCCACCAUGCACACUCCUGAGCUGCAUUGGCCAUGAUGAGGAGCCCGGUCAUAUACACACCUGAGCUGCAUUGGGUUUGACGAGGAGUCCAUCAUGCAUACACCUGAGACACAAGCGAUGCAGGCAGAGGGUGAGUAGACUGGGGCUCUCAGACAUGAGCAAGCUUUGCCUGUCUAAGCCCUCACUGAUGGUGUCAUAUAAACAUUGGCAUAAAGGGACUGAGUGAAUAGAAUCAUAGCUAGCAAAAAGCGUUCUGCACUAAUUUUGGCAUGUGACAAUAGGGUCUGAAAUCAAAGAUUUUAGCAAAGGUCUUGGUUCCUCAUCAUUUUCAGUGAGGAAGUCACUGGGCAUGUGACUUCUAAGAGGAAGGGGACACCCAUGCGCACACAAAAACUCUUUCAAUAAUUGCAGGGUUGACAGGUGGAUAGGAUUUGAAUGGAGAGGUGGAAGUUACUGGACACUUGGAUGAUGCCUUUAAUAACUUUUCUUCUUCCACAAUGCCAAGUUUAUUUUGUUCUUCAUUACAUUUUACUUAACUGAACAUUUUCUGAGACCAGGACUUGAGAAUGUUUGUAUAUAACCUACUUUUCAUAAAGUCUAGUCUUUCAUCUUUUCUGUGUAACCUCAAAGAGAGUCUUAAGACACAGUGUUUAAUACUAUAAGAUAAUAUUUGUAUUUCAUACCUUGUCCUCCAGAUAGAUUUUCCAUUUCAAAAGAACUGUUCAAGAUCACAACACUUCACAAAUGUAGGUGCUAAAUUUUGAAUUUAAAUUAGACCAUCAUCAUCAGUAUUGUCAUGACAAUCAUUGUUUAAGAGGCAGCAGGAUAAAAACUUCCUUUCUACUGGGAAGUAGUGGUUUGAAUUUGGACUCUGGCUCCUAAGUCUCCUUUUAGUCCUCCUGAUUCUAACAUCCACCCUUCUGCUUCUGGGACAAUUUCUCCUUUUUAACUUGCAUGCAACCAUCAUGCCAUUGAACUUGUAUGUGUCUGUCUUUCUGAGUUUAUUCUUUGUAGCAUCCUUUUGUUCUGUUGAGGUUGUGUUUCUAUGUAUCUUGAAUUUUUUUCUGUGCCCACUUAGAGAAAACUUGCCAAUUUUGACAUCUCUAAACGGAAUACACUUGGGAACUUGGGAAUGCCUUUGUUAUCCUUCCAGGCAAGAUCUUCCCAGCAGAGUUCUACUUUAAUUAGCUUGAUUUCAGCACAGUUUGUAAUUCCUGGAUUUAAGCACAAAUCUGAUAAAUUAUGUAUUUGAUACAUGAAGUGAAACGUAUAAAGGUUGAAAUUUUUAGGAUUUGAGCCUUCUCCAGAAGUGAGAAAUGAUUAAAAUCACAGACAUGGUGACAUUGAAGAUGGCAUAAUGACCCUAAAUAGUCAUCCUAUGUUGUUGAAAUGAGUAGACAUUCCUAUGGGAGUUGCAUCCAACAGUGUGGCUUCUUUAUGCAAACUUCAGGGCCUACGCUUAGUGUGCAUUUGUAUAACUCAUUUAACCAAUUACUAAUAUCACAAGUGCUUUCACCCCAUUUUCUAGUGGCUUUAUAUUCUCUGAUUUUGUAUAAUUGAAGAUCAGUGGUUUUCUCUGAAGUUUGAAAUCCUAAUGCAAGUACCGUGUUCAUUUAGGUAAAAGUGCCUCUUUUUGGCACUUUUAGGAUUAUUGUGAAGUGAAAUGAGAUGACAAAUGUAGAGGACUGGGUGGAGGGAUAGGAGAAGGUCCUGAGUCAGUGCUUGGUGGAGGGAUAGGAGAAGGUCCUGAGUCAGUGCUUGGUGGAGGGAUAGGAGAAGGUCCUGAGUCAGUGCUGGGUGGAGGGAUAGGAGAAGGUCCUGAGUCAGUGCUUGGUGGAGGGAUAGGAGAAGGUCCUGAGUCAGUGCUUGGUGGAGGGAUAGGAGAAGGUCCUGAGUGUGGACUGGGUGGAGGGAUAGGAGAAGGUCCUGAGUCAGUGCUUGGUGGAGGGAUAGGAGAAGGUCCUGAGUGAGUGCUUGGUGGAGGGAUAGGAGAAGGUCCUGAGUGAGUGCUUGGUGGAGGGAUAGGAGAAGGUCCUGAGUGUGGACUGGGUGGAGGGAUAGGAGAAGGUCCUGAGUCAGUGCUGGGUGGAGGGAUAGGAGAAGGUCCUGAGUGAGUGCUUGGUGGAGGGAUAGGAGAAGGUCCUGAGUGAGUGCUUGGUGGAGGGAUAGGAGAAGGUCCUGAGUGUGGACUGGGUGGAGGGAUAGGAGAAGGUCCUGAGUGUGGACUGGGUGGAGGGA